ACGGAAGGCAGCAGUGGGGAAUAUUGCACAAUGGGGGAAACCCUGAUGCAGCGAUGCCGCGUGAGGGAAGAAGGUUUUCGGAUUGUAAACCUCUGUCAUCGGGGACGAUAAUGACUGUACCCGAGAAGGAAGCUCCGGCUAACUACGUGCCAGCAGCCGCGGUAAUACGUAGGGAGCGAGCGUUAUCCGGAAUUACUGGGUGUAAAGGGAGUGUAGGCGGGACUGUAAGUCAGAUGUGAAAUAUGCCGGCUCAACUGGCAGACUGCAUUUGAAACUGCGGUUCUUGAGUGAAGUAGAGGUAAGCGGAAUUCCUAGUGUAGCGGUGAAAUGCGUAGAUAUUAGGAGGAACAUCAGUGGCGAAGGCGGCCUGCUGGGGCUUAACUGACGCUGAGGCACGAAAGCGUGGGGAGCAAACAGGAUUAGAUACCCUGGUA
This 434-nucleotide ribosomal RNA is filed under the name uncultured Ruminococcus sp. RNAcentral describes it as "bacterial SSU rRNA". It matches the Rfam family "Bacterial small subunit ribosomal RNA", at positions 341 to 792 of the family's 1533-position model. Lineage: Bacteria; Bacillati; Bacillota; Clostridia; Eubacteriales; Oscillospiraceae. The record is from RNAcentral.